RNAcentral lists this ribosomal RNA (633 nucleotides) under Rotylenchulus reniformis. RNAcentral's name for it is "SSU rRNA". It matches the Rfam family "Eukaryotic small subunit ribosomal RNA", at positions 1003 to 1664 of the family's 1831-position model. The record is from RNAcentral. Lineage: Eukaryota; Metazoa; Nematoda; Chromadorea; Rhabditida; Hoplolaimidae.
GGCGAUCAGAUACCGCCCUAGUUCUGACCGUAAACGAUGCCAACUAGCGAUCCGCCAGUCGACUCAUCGCUCUGGUGGGGAGCUUCCCGGAACGAAAGUCUUCCGGUUCCGGGGGAAGUAUGGUUGCAAAGCUGAACUUAAAGGAAUUGACGGAAGGGCACCACCAGGAGUGGAGCCUGCGGCUUAAUUUGACUCAACACGGGGAAACUCACCCGGGCCCGGACACCGUAAGGAUUGACAGAUUGAUAGCUUUUUCAUGAUUCGGUGGAUGGUGGUGCAUGGCCGUUCUUAGUUCGUGGAGCGAUUUGUCUGGUUUAUUCCGAUAACGAGCGAGACUCUGGCCUACUAAAUAGUUGGUACAUUGCCACUGUGUGCACAACUUCUUAGAGGGAUUUUCGGUGUUCAGCCGCACGAAAUUGAGCAAUAACAGGUCUGUGAUGCCCUUAGAUGUCCGGGGCUGCACGCGCGCUACACUGGCAAAAUCAGCGUGCUUGUCCUCCCCCGAAAGGGGUUGGUAAACCGAUGAAAAUUUGCCGUGAUUGGGAUCGGACAUUGCAAUUAUUGUCCGUGAACGGGGAAUCCCUUGUAAGGGCGAGUCAUCAACUCGUCCUGAAUACGUCCCUGCCCUUUGUA